RNAcentral lists this ribosomal RNA (779 nucleotides) under uncultured bacterium. RNAcentral's name for it is "bacterial SSU rRNA". It matches the Rfam family "Bacterial small subunit ribosomal RNA", at positions 240 to 1012 of the family's 1533-position model. The record is from RNAcentral.
AUUAGCUAGUUGGUGGGGUAAUGGCCCACCAAGGCGACGAUGCAUAGCCGACCUGAGAGGGCGACCAGCCACACUGGAACUGAGACACGGUCCAGACUCCUACGGGAGGCAGCAGUGGGGAAUUUUGGACAAUGGGCGAAAGCCUGAUCCAGCAAUGCCGCGUGAGUGAAGAAGGCCUUCGGGUUGUAAAGCUCUUUUGUCAGGGAAGAAACGGUUUGGGCUAAUACCCUGAGCUAAUGACGGUACCUGAAGAAUAAGCACCGGCUAACUACGUGCCAGCAGCCGCGGUAAUACGUAGGGUGCAAGCGUUAAUCGGAAUUACUGGGCGUAAAGCGUGCGCAGGCGGUUUUGUAAGUCUGACGUGAAAUCCCCGGGCUCAACCUGGGAAUUGCGUUGGAGACUGCAAGGCUAGAAUCUGGCAGAGGGGGGUAGAAUUCCACGUGUAGCAGUGAAAUGCGUAGAGAUGUGGAGGAACACCGAUGGCGAAGGCAGCCCCCUGGGUCAAGAUUGACGCUCAUGCACGAAAGCGUGGGGAGCAAACAGGAUUAGAUACCCUGGUAGUCCACGCCCUAAACGAUGUCUACUAGUUGUCGGGUUUUAAUUAACUUGGUAACGCAGCUAACGCGUGAAGUAGACCGCCUGGGGAGUACGGUCGCAAGAUUAAAACUCAAAGGAAUUGACGGGGACCCGCACAAGCGGUGGAUGAUGUGGAUUAAUUCGAUGCAACGCGAAAAACCUUACCUACCCUUGACAUGUACGGAAGACCGAAGAGAUUUGGG